GACAGAGGGGGCAAGCGUUGCUCGGAAUUACUGGGCGUAAAGGGCGCGUAGGCGGGAUGGCAAGUCGGUCGUGAAAUCCCUCGGCUCAACUGAGGAUCGUCGAUCGAUACUGCUGUUCUUGAGGAUUGCAGAGGAGACUGGAAUUCCUGGUGUAGCGGUGAAAUGCGCAGAUAUCAGGAAGAACACCCGUGGCGAAGGCGGUUCUCUGGGACGGUACUGACGCUGAGACGCGAAAGCGUGGGGAGCGAACAGG
Molecule: ribosomal RNA, 253 nt
Filed under: uncultured bacterium
Lineage: Bacteria
Description: partial 16S ribosomal RNA
Rfam family: Bacterial small subunit ribosomal RNA
Source: RNAcentral